This 2868-nucleotide ribosomal RNA is filed under the name Triticum aestivum (bread wheat). RNAcentral describes it as "partial small subunit ribosomal RNA". The record is from RNAcentral. Lineage: Eukaryota; Viridiplantae; Streptophyta; Magnoliopsida; Poales; Poaceae.
AUGGCGCCGCCGCGGCAGGACUCCCCUGAGGGUUUGGAGGUGCAGUGCGCGGGGUGCGGCGAGACGCUGGAGGUGGACCCGGGCCUGACGGAGUUCAUCUGCCCGGACUGCGCCACGCCGCAGUCGCUCCCGCCGGAGCUCAUGCCGCCGCCGCCGCCGCGGCGGAAGGCGCUGCCCCUGCCCCGCGCGGCCGCCGACGUCCGGGGCGCGCGGCUCCCGUGCGGCUCCUGCGGCGCGCUCCUGAGCGUGCCCGUCGGGCUGGCGCGCUGCGCCUGCCCGGUCUGCGGCGCCGAGCUCGCCGUCGACACCGCGCGGCUCCGGCAUUACCUCCUCUCGUCCGCUACGGCGGAGGGCGCCGUGCCCGUGGUGCCACUCGGCGACCCCUCGGCCCCACCCAUCCUCCAAGCCCAGCAGGUGCGGCAAGAACAUCCUAAUUUUGGGAUUCGUGCAGGACUUUUGUGGACAGAUCCUGAUAAUCGGACAAAUUGUAUGGGACAGGUACAAACAAAUCAGCCAAAUCAGCUUAUUCCAGAGCAGGCAGAUCUGGAUAAUCCUGGUUCUACGAUUGAGAGAGGGGAGGUACAUGAUGUCAGUGGGGAGGUACAUGAUGUCAAUGGGAUUUUUGCUAAGCGGACAAGCAUGUAUUCAGUUGGCCCUGGAAUUGUUAGUCCCGAAAGGAGACAUGAAGAGCCUCAAAAUCAUGACCGCCAUCAGGCGCAAGUUCAAUCUUCUACAACACGUAUAAAUUGCAGAACUGGGCGAUCUACUGCCCCCCAAACUGUAAAUAUAGAAAAGAGGCAGCUGCUCACUCCCGAUCAGACCAUACAACAGGCAGAAAAACAGCCUUCUUGUCGUGCAAUAUGUACAGAGAAGGCUCAUGCAGAGGAUGCAGAUGGGGUGAUUCAUGUCCAGGAAAAGCAACAACAGCGUGUCAGCCAGGUAAAUCAUACAGAAGAAUUAUGCACUCAGGCGGCCAAUGAGAUAAUUACAAGGGACAACAAUGGAACGAGAGUCGGGUAUGCAGCUUGCAGUGAUGCUGCAUUUGCAGAGAGGAGGAAGGUGCAUGAAGCAAAUGACGCUAUAAAACAGGUGCAAAGAAAACAAUCUGAUUCAACGGUUCAUAUGGAACCGGAAAAUGAAGUGAUCCAUGUAGAAAAGGAACACUCAAAAUCUUUCAGUUGCAGAACCCCCAAGCAGAAAAAGAAGGGUUUGACAGCUGCUUCCAAUCCAGGCCUUCAACUUAGGCGCAGCAAACGUUUGGUGAAAGAUUCACCUGCUUCCAUAGACCAAGAACCUGUUCAAAAUGUGUUUCUUGAGAGUCAAGAAGGAACUUCGAUUAGCCACAUACCAGCCACCGUCAGAGUCAGUGAACCAACAGAAAGUGAUUCUGAUUCACUGCAUGCUGGUUCUCCAGAACAGAGUGAACCAACAGAAAAUGAUCCUGAUUGGCAGCAUGCUGGUUCUCCAGAACAGAGUUUAUCGGACUCUCCAGAUAUUGAUAGAAUCAUCAACAAUAUAAAGCCUAGUCCACCCCCUCCCUGUGAGAUGCAUGAACCAAGCUCUAACAAGUUAGACAGCCCUCAUUUAACUACACCAACUUCUAAUUCAGAUCUCAACUUGUCCGAUCCCGAGCAGUUUGCACGUAAUUACAUCCCCCUUGAGGUUAGGAAGGCCCUUCCAGCGCUGAGAUCUAAUUCAUUGUUUGAGCAUACCAUGUCCCAGGCAAGCUAUGGCGAGGCAAGCCUGCAUGAUUUAACUGAUUCAGAAGGAGACGACCCUUGUAGCCCGACUCUCCAGAAUGUUGCAGGUACCAAGAGAAACCACAAACGUCUCCGUUGUGGUCUGAAACUCAGUCUUGAGGUGUGGACCUUGCCUAAAGGUGUGCGCAUACCGGUUUCAUUGAACACUUCAGGUGAACCUGUUGGAAAAGCGGCAGGCACCCUAAGUAACUUUUUGUGUGCAAUAGCACGAGAUGGCGUAUUGGCACCGCUAACAUAUCAUGAUUGGAGGCGUGUUCCGGAGAAAAACAAGAAUAUAAUCUGGCAUAUUGUCAAGCUCAAAUUUGACAUUGCUCCGGUUGGUGAGUUAUGGAUCAUGAAGUCCUUAGGAAAGAGGUGGAGGAGUUGGAAAUCUUUCUUGAAACUACAACACUACGAUACUCAUGAGACGGAAGAGGAACGCCUUGCUGAUCGAAAUCCUCGUGUUCUCAAAGAACAGUGGCAAUUUCUAGUUGCAUAUUGGAGUACUGAAAAGGCGAAGGCCGCAAGUGCUCGCAGUAAAGCUUGUCAGUCAAAUGUGGUCGCUCAUCAUACUGCAGGAACAAAGAGCUUUGCAAGGAUAAUCGAGGAGGAGAAGCAAAAACGGCCUAACAAGGACGGGCCCAGUGUUGAGGAUCUGUUCAUAAUGACUCAUACACCCAAGAAUGGGAAACCUAUGAAGAAGGCAACAGCUGAUGCCAUUGCACGACUUCGUAAGCAGGUAGAGAGUUCAGGAGGUGAUUCUGCUGCACAUGACUCCUCGAAGGUCCCACGAGGGAAGGCAGUCCUGCAGGCAUCCUUCAAGGAAGCCAUGGAGGCUAAACGCAGAGCUGAAGACGAGGCAUCGGCGCUGAAGGAAAAAAUGAUGGCAAUGGAAGAAAGCCAGAGAAAGAUGCAGGAAGAUUUGGCGAAUAUGAAGAGUGCAGUUAGCGCUAUACACAAGACGGCACCAACUGGUGACUUGCAAGGUCAACAAAUGCACAAAAAAACGCCUGUUAGUAAAAACUCUCAAGACGAGCCAACAGGUGGACCAUCGUUUCCUCCAGGUUUCGCAAAGAAUCCGAAUCCUUCACAACCCACGCGGCGUUCAAAACGGGCCAAGCGCUCGUGA